Molecule: long non-coding RNA, 8972 nt
Filed under: Salmo salar (Atlantic salmon)
Lineage: Eukaryota; Metazoa; Chordata; Actinopteri; Salmoniformes; Salmonidae
Description: lncRNA (ENSSSAG00000096495.1)
Source: RNAcentral
GUAACGUUACGCUAGCUAGUCAGUCAGCUAGAUAGAUAACAGUACCAGCCAGAGCUAGAAGGAACUAGCUAACGUUAGCUUGUAAAGUCAAGCACGUUUUAUAAAAACGAUUUUCGUUGUAUUAACUAACCUGUUUGGCUUUCACGUUUAUAGAUACAAGUGAGCUUAUUUGGUUGUAGACCUAACUUGGCGGACGUUAGCUAUAGCCUACAGUACACAUUCAGAUUAUUAUUUAAAAGAAUUAUUUAAUAUCUACUUUCACCUGUGCUACUUACAACUGGGUUUAAGGAGUUUGCUUAGCUGGUAAUUCGAUCUAGAAUCUGUGGUCUUUAAAACCUCUUACAUCUAGACGUUCCGCUUGCGGAACACCUGCUCCAAUAUCCAAUGAUAGGCGUGGCGCGAAUUACAAAUUCCUCAAAAAUACAAAAACUUACAUUUUUCAAACAUAUAACUAUUUUACAGCAUUUUAAAGACAAGACUCUCCUUUAUCUAACCACACUGUCCGAUUUCAAAAAGGCUUUACAGCGAAAGCAAAACAUUAGAUUAUGUCAGCAGAGUACCCAGCCAGAAAUAAUCAGACACCCAUUUUUCAAGCUAGCAUAUAAUGUCACAAAAAACAAAACCACAGCUAAAUGCAGCACUAACCUUUGAUGAUCUUCAUCAGAUGACACUCCUAGGACAUUAUGUUAUACAAUACAUGCAUGUUUUGUUCAAUCAAGUUCAUAUUUAUAUCAAAAAACAGCUUUUUACAUUAGUAUGUGACGUUCAGAACUAGCAUUCCCACCGAACACUUCCGGUGAAUUUACUAAAUUACUCACGAUAAACGUUCACAAAAAACAUAACAAUUAUUUUAAGAAUUAUAGAUACAGAACUCCUUUGUGCAAUCGAGGUGUCCGAUUUUAAAAUAGCUUUUCGGUGAAAGCACAUUUUGCAAUAUUCUGAGUACAUAGCCCGGCAUCACAGGGCUAGCUAUUUAGACACCCAGCAAGUUUAGCACUCACCAAAGUCAGAUUUACUAUUAGAAAAGUUUGAUUACCUUUGGUGUUCUUCGUCAGAAUGCACUCCCAGGACUGCUACUUCAAUAACAAAUGUUGGUUUGGUUCAAAAUAAUCCAUUGUUAUAUCCAAAUAGCGGCGUUUUGUUCGUGCGUUCAAGACACUAUCCAAGGGUGACGAAGGGUCACGCGCACGACAAAUAAUUUCUAAAUAUUCCAUUACCGUACUUCGAAGCAUGUCAACCGCUGUUUAAAAUCAAUUUUUAUGCAAUUUUUCUCGUAAAAAAGCGAUAAUAUUCAGACCGGGAAACCCUGUUUUCGUUCAAAGAUAAAACAUCGAGUCAACUCGUGCACGAGCCUGAGUCUCACAGUACUGUGAGCAGCCACUAUCCAAACGCGCUAAUGUUUUUCAGCCAGAGCCUGCAAAGCCACGAUUCAGCUUUUUGCCGCCUUCUGAGAGCCCAUGGGAGCCGUAGGAAGUGUCACGUAACAGCAGAGAUCCCCUGUAUUGGAUAGAGAUAAUCAAGAAGGGCAAGAAAUUGUCAAACAGGGCACUUCCUGCAUGGAAUCUUCUCAGGUUUUGGCCUGCCAAAUGAGUUCUGUUAUACUCACAGACACCAUUCAAACAGUUAUAGAAACUUUGGAGUGUUUUUUAUCCAAAGCUAAUAAUUAUAUGCAUAUUCUAUUUUCUGGGCAGGAGUAAUAAUCAGAUUAAAUCGGGUACGUUUUUUAUCCGGCCGUGAAAAUACUGCCCCCUAGCCAUAACAGGUUAAAUAGGAUCCAUUGAGACAUAUUAUUCACUACCUAUUGUACUUAAGGUCAGUGAAUCUUAAGUUUUUGGCACACUUGGAAAUGUUUUAGGGCUACUUCCUGUACUUCUCUUUUCCUUUAACCUUAACACUAGUCAGUGAUUGGCUUUGUUAUGAGAUGGAUGUAUUAGAUGUACAGCUAGAUGAGAUGAAGGGUCUUUUCCCAUGGUCUUUACCCCAGGUAGGCUGACAACUAGAUCAUCCAUAUGCAACAGAUCCUAAUGAACCUCAAAGGCAGACGCCAGGUCGGUUAGAAACAGCAGUAGUAAGUGAAUGGGAGAUUACCACAGAAUCAACAAAUUAACCAAAUUUCACAGUGACACAAAAUGUAAAUGACCCACACUGCCCUGUUUCCUCACCUACAUUGAAAAAAGAAAGUAAUUAUAUCAAGGUGAAAGCAGUUCUAACCAGUGGUGUUCAGGGCAGGGAAAUUGUAGAUGCUGUUCAUCUGCCAAACAUAAACCCUGGAUUACAGAAUGAACAUCAAACAGCGGCUGUUAACUUUGAUCAAAUUGCAGCCAUUUUACAAUCACAUGGUGGUUCAAAAAGGCCAAAUACUCCUGCAUGCACUCAGUGAAAGAAACUGCUUAGUGGUAUACCUCUACUACAAGCAUUGAACAUAGGAGGAAAACACUUCUUCAUCCUAUCAAAUCCACCAAGUAGUCUCUGUAGAAGGGAAAACCAACCCAUCCACACAGGGUUGUAGCCAAUUUCAAACAGUGUCGCCAACCAAUUGCCAAUUGUCAGACGGAAGUUUUCUUCCAAGCCAAAGUACUGCCAUCCUCCCUCUGCUAACCAGCCCUACUGCAGCGACCACCUUGGCUUCUGUGCAUCAGCAAUAUGUCAUUCUGCCACCCAAUUGUAAAACAUUGAACAUUUCUCCAGCUCAAAGUGAAAAGCAUAUGCCCCCCCCGUCAAGAAACCAUGUCCUGUGAGUCGCAUAAAGUUAAGAGAUCCAUACCCCAACUGCAUGAAAAUAGGUCUAGACCUCAAUGUGAGAUCAAAAGAAAAACUUCACUUGAAGUUUCUGACUAACGGCGUUAUGUUUGAGAUUCAUAACUUUGCCAACAAGGUAACAACCACUUUUCAGUAUGUUGUGUUUGAUAUUCUAGAACACAACUUUGAUCUCGGUUUGCAAAGUAAGCAACGCUGGAAAUUUGUCAGUGCUGUUACUGCGAGAUUAAAGAAAAUCAAGAAGAAAUAUAACAAUAAAAAUGACACAGUUGAAGUGUUCACACUACCUGAUCUUCAGAAGAAAGCGAAACCGAUUUCUGAAGCAUCUUUACUUGCAAAGGCUUUCCAAGACAAGGACUCAUCAAAGACAUUGAGACAGAAACUUGCUCAACAAAAGCAGUUGGAGAGAAACAAGCAAGUUAGACAAAGUAAAUAUCAGAUGGCUAGGGAGGAAGAGAAUGCCAUCAAAUUUCAUAAGGCUCACGAGGCCAUGAACAACUUUUUAAUGACUUGGUUUUAUCAUGACAGGCAAGUUACUCUUCAGAAUGCCAGUGAAACCAUUCCUAAUCAGAUGGAUGUCACGUCGUGCUCUGUUGAAACUGCAACACUUGGCAAAGAGAAAGGACAUACUGAUGUCUGUUUUAAAGAUGAGUCUGAUCCUCAUCCCAUAUCUUUUGGGCAAGUCAAGGAGGAACCCAUUUUUAGUGAGACUGCUGUCACAAAGUGUGGAGAUGAAAUGCCAACACAUGUCCAGAAGAAUGGAGGUUCUGAGAUUGAUGUAAAGGUUGAGUCUGAUCUAGGCCUACCUCUUCGGCAUAUCAAGGCAGAGACAAACUAAGACCGUUGCAACACUGUACACCGGUGAAAAGGCAAUGCCUUGCCAGAAGAAUGAGCCAACCGACAUCUGUACAAAGGAUGAGCCUGAUUUUAACCCCAAAUCUCUGCCACAGAUAAAGGAUGAGGCACCCUGGAAUUGAACUGAAGAAACACUGUACAUGGACGAAACGGCAACACCAGGCCAGACAAAUGGACUCAAUGUCGUCUCCAUUAACAAUGAGUCAUACAGCACCCUGCAUUUCAUGGUGAAGAUCAGAGGUGUGGAACAAUCCCAUUUGGUGUCUACAAUGGAUAGAACCGUGAAUAACCCAUACCCCUACUGCAGGAGAAUAGGUCUAGACCUUGAUGUGAAAUCAAAACUGGGAGUAAAAAAUAAACUUGAUUUGCGUUCACUGACAACAGGUGUAAUGCUUGAAAUUCAUGAUUUUGCCAAUGAAUUAUGUGCGUCAUCUAAGGAGAUUGUUGUUCGUGUCAUUAAACACCAUUUCCAUCUUGACUUGGAAAACGAACAAUUGCUACGCUCCGAAAAUAUUGGGAACAGACUAAAGCGGUUACCAAAACGGAAAGAUAUGAAAGAGAAACUCCUGAAGGAACCCUUCACAUUCACCAGUCCAGUCCAAAAGCCCCGCCGGAAAACAGCUGCUAAAGGAACUAUGCCUAAUGCAUCACUUGUGUCAAAGUAUCAAAGAUUGAAAGAAAUCUCAGAAAGAAGACGAUUGGAUGUAAAGGAAAGGAAAGAGGAAAAAAUUGCCCUGAUGGCAAAUGAGAAAAAGAAACCAGCCAAAAGGUUUCCAAAGUCUCAGGCGACUUGUCAGGUCAAAGAAACCUGGUCAAUGAACUCAGUCCCAAAAAUACCCACAAGGGCAGGCCUGUAGGAGCUGGGUAUAAUUGAGACACUCAAGGCCAACUGAACUGUCGACUUGUGAGAACUCUGAAACCAAUAACAGGAAAGAGGCCUCCCCAACCUAGGUAGGGGAGUAAUUGUUAGAAAUGGCUAGGCUUGCAGAAGAUAAUGAGAACUAUGUGUUAGUAUUGUGGAAAUAUACAGCCCACCUAAAGAGAGGUGGAGUUUCUACUGAUGUGAGUUCAUUUGUGUGUGUGUGUGUGUGUGUGUGUGUGUGUGUGUGUGUGUGUGUGUGUGUGUGUGUGUGUGUGUGUGUGUGUGUGUGUGUGUGUGUGUGUGUGUGUGUGUGUGUGUGUGUGUGUUAUAAGAAGAUUGUGUUCUCAUUUUGAAGUCAGAGUACUCUCUGAAUAAAGCAUUAAUCUAUUGCAGAAUCUGAGACUUUGUCUAAUUCUUCAUUAAAUCUGAGUUUCACGACCUCUGGGGAAAUAGACAAAGUUUGAGUGAUAGUUGAGUUCAACCAUUGGGAUAAAAAUUCUUGUGACAAAUGUCACACUUAUGAAAAAGCAAAGUUUAGUCAGAAAAAUGUACUUGCCGACAUAUACCCACAGGAGGAAUCUGAUCUUCACUCUGAGCUCACAGCGCAAGCCUCCGACCCAGAAGACAGCCAAGUAGACAUGUUUAGGAAAAUUAUCCUGGAUGUAGUCAUGAACGAUGAAGUGGACCAGAGGAAGAUCUUUACCAAAAUGAUUAUAUGUGUUGGUGACCCGGCUGCCGCAGAGAGGAAAUUCAAGCAAAUCUUAACUGAAUACAGAUCAAAGAUUUUGCCACACAUGGUUGAGCAAUAUCAUGCCUAUACUGAUGCUGAAAAGGUAAUGCUGUCCCUUGUGAAUGAGCUGUUCUGUGGCUUACAUUUGAUUGACGGCUUAGCUCACCAGGCAAAAACAACUCUUCUACUGUGGGAAAAGCAGAUUUUUGGAGAUAAGGAAGCUGGUGGCGCCCCUAGCUUUGGGAUCACAGAAUUGGAGUCUGGAACAGUGCGCUUGGUGAGAUCUAUGUGUGAUGCUGUCCAAGCCAAAGGGCGUGCAAAGGAUGACAGGUUUGGGAAAUUCUAAACCUUUUUGACCGGCAAAGGAGAAUUUGACGAGGUUCGUUUGGUUUCAUUCAGAGGAAAUAGACUUGACACACUCUUUCAUAAUGCUGCAGGGGUGUACAGCAUCCAUGAUGAUUUGGUGGAGUUUACCAGUGAUUACAUAGUGGACAGUAGUUUUGUCAAAGGAGUUGCUGCUGAUUUGGAGGUUCCACAGUUCAAGGCUGGAUUCAGAGCUCUGGGUCUGAUUUCUAAGAUAAUCAUGGAUCCUCUCUGGAGAGCCUUGACCUUGAAGGGCAACAUAUUGAAAAUGGAAGCACGAUAUCAAACCCUUGUUACCAAACUCUAGGAGUGGCAGGAGGAUGGGAGACAGAUUGUUGAGGGAAAUGCGUGCUUGUUUGAUGACAAUGAUGUGCCCAAGGACCUUGUGUUUGACAGGCUUACCAUUUGGAAAGACACAGACUUUUAUGAGUUGACAGUUCAGAUCGUUGAAUUGCUACUUGCUAGUUGUCUGAGGAUAUGUGGCAAGAUGCUGUCUAGUAAUCCUCAUUGCAGGUAUGUUCUGCCAACAGAUGAGCUGAGAGCCAAGCUGAGGUCAAUGCCAAAGAAAGAUGCCAGCCUGCAGAGAGAUGUUGGCCUCUUGGAGCAUCUACAAAGGGCUAAAUCGGGAGCCAUUGGCAUCGCACUGGAGGCCAUGGUCAUGUUCAAGGGGAGUCGCACCUGGGAUUGGCUUCAGUCUUUGGACAGAGAAAAAAGAACGUCAGUGCUGAAAGCACUUCAGCAGGCAGUUAAGCAAAAAAAAGUGUUGGCAACAGAGCGCUCAAGUCUCCAGAAUGGGAAAGGCAACCGCACGAAAGCAGUUGUGAAGCCUGGACAUGCUGCCACUGAGAAACAACAGAAAAUUGCUGAACAGAACAUUGAGGGAAUGACAGUGAAGUCAGAGGAGAGGGAUUCCGGGCUUGAGAUUGCAGUUGCCAGACCUCAACAAUCACCCCUACAGGGUGAAAGCACAAUGACAGUGAAGUCUGAGGAGAUGGAGAGGGAAGUAGCAAGACCUCAACAAUCAGCCCUACGGGGCGAAGUGAGUCCUGCUGAAAAUACUUGUUGUAGAUAAACAGAAAGCUAUGGAGCAUGAACAACACCAUCCAGGUGGACACUAUACCAUGAUGAAACAUGAUUUGAUCAGAGAGUUAGAGAAGUGUGGUGGUUUGUGGGAGAAAGAGGAUGAUAUGGAUGAACAUUUGGCUUUAUUAGAUAAACAUGAUAGGUAUUCUGCAGUUAUCUGCCAACUUCAGUUCCGGAAAUAUGUCCUUUGUAUGAAAAAUGAGAACGGGCUUCUCAAUGUUUCAGUUGCCAGCAUAAAACUUAGCUUUGAAGAACUUGUGACAAAUUUGGGGUCAUUUAUCUCAAAGAUCAACACCUCUGAAGAAGUCAAAGCCCGCAGUCUGAAACGAAAAGCAGACACAACUGAGACAUUGCCCGACAAACCAUCCAAAAAGAUGGUGAAAGUGGCUGAGAAUGUUGUGGGCAGGGUUUCAAAGUGUGCCACAGGUGUGGUUAGGGAUACAGAGCCAAUGAAGAGCUACACACCCAGAAAACAAAAACAUUGCCUACCUGCUGAAGUUACUGUUCAGGUGGAUUAACAUGAAAAAGGGCGGGAGAUCCUCUAGAAAAGUAGCACUCACAAAGCCAGUACACAUCCAGUAAUGAAGAGAACAGAGAAAAACACGAGAUUUUAGUGAAACUAAGACCACAGAUCUAAUUGUAUUAUGACUAGGUCUACUAAAUGGGGGAAAAAGGUUGUUUAGUCUGACAAAAAUACCAUUUCCUAGGCUUAAGUUUUCAUCAGUGUUGAAAGCAGAUGUGUCUUUAGAAUCUUAUAGACAGAUGUAUCAGUAGUGACUGAGCUGUAUAAAUUGUCACAAUGUGUAGAUGGGAACGUGAAACAACUAAUGCUUUUACUUUAUUUAAACUUUAUACCAGCAAGAAUUUGGACUAUGAGCUGCUUCCAGUGUUGACUUAGGCCAUAUUCAGCACAAUUCACAAUGGUCAAACCUAUCCGUGAUUCUAACCAGGUUACAGGAUAGAGGAGAAAGAAGUGUGUCUUUUGAGAGAGACAAUCUACCUACUUGACCCAUUUAAGGCCUUUUUUUUUUGCAUUUGUCUAUCAAAAUCAUUUUAGUUGGGAAAGGAAGGUUAGUGGGUAAGGUGAACUGGGAAAGAUGACCCUUGGCUUCCUUCAAAGUCCUUAUCACUUCUAUGGAUAUCAAGUUGUCUGUUAAGAAGCCGUACCUUGGAAAGUCAUUACAGGAAUUGGACAGAAAAACCUAUGAGACAUUUUUAUUUUUGUUCAUUUUUCUUUGGAUGGACUUGAAUUGUGAAUUUUCCCCAUGGCAGUUGAUCCUUGGGAGAGAACAAAAGCUCAUCUACAGUAUAGGAGACAAAAUCAGUGAGAAAUGACAAUCAUCAUUUUAGCCUUGUUUUUAUUUUUUGGUUUGAUUUUCCCGAAGACGAUACUUCAGAAUUGUUCAAGUUUUACCACUGACGUUUUGGAAAGAAUCUGUUAAAGGGGGAACUGUCCUUGGUGAAGGGGCACUCCCACUGUGGUACAAGUGUAACUCUUUGUUUACCUUGGAUGCUGUAAUCGCUCACCUGCUGUGGAACAGAAAAGGUAAACAAUCCCAGUGACAUGAUUCAUGUAUGCAGCAUCUCCUGACCAGCAAUACGGUUAUCUGAGUGGUCAUCUCAGUCUUGUGUCCACUGUUCACAAUAGAAUACCUCAAGACCUAAAAAAGGUAGUUGGAUAAAUGCACCAUCUCUACAACCCAUGGAUCCAGGCCAGGGGCAGUAGAUACCACCAUCUCUACAACCCAUGGAUCCAGGCCAGGGGCAGUAGAUACCGCCGCCUUUCAAACACCUGGGAUGACAUAUCUGCAGGUUUCUCUCCUCAGUCUGUAUCCAGAGAGUCCCUCAUCCUCUUUGUGCCAGGAUAAGGAUCUUAGACCUUGUCCUUGGUGUGGUUUUGGACCAACUCUGUUUCUGUAAAGAAGACACCUUGUCUGCAUCAUCACACGGCCAACAGACAGCCAACUGACUGCCUCUGGCCUCCAUGCCUGUGUUUCUGUCCGCUUAGAGGACUGACUGACUGUUCUGAGACCUGUUGUCCCACAUUCCACUGAUUCAUUCCACAGCAGAACCACGACUGAUUAGGAUGUUACAGGACAAAAGAGACUCAUCUGUGAGUAGAGACUACAGCACCCACAAAGCAUUGCAGCUUCCCUUACUGACACUUGUAGGCCUACUUGCACUGCCUGCUUUUACUACUGUCUCAAGGUAAUUUUUUUCUGAGUUAAUGUUCUGUAAAUACUCCCAGGUUUGGUGUUUCAGAUGUUCAUGGUCUAUGUUACCAGUUUUACACUGUGUGGACUUGGGGUUUUUGUUCUCCAG